Molecule: long non-coding RNA, 1052 nt
Organism: Corvus hawaiiensis (hawaiian crow)
Lineage: Eukaryota; Metazoa; Chordata; Aves; Passeriformes; Corvidae
Exons: 3
Source: RefSeq, a predicted model, not a curated record
CCUGUCUCCAGGCUGAAUGGAAACCUCGGUGUACAAGCAGACAGAGUUUAAGAAUCUGAAAAAAUGGAACAUGCUGGGAAAAGAAUGUUUCUUCUGCUCAAGCCCAAAAACUUCAGAAAAGUAGGAUAUGGGUAUAUUUAAAAGUACAGGAACACAAAGGUAUACCUCAGCUGAGUUUGGACAUCUUGUCCUUUCUGAAGCACAAUAAAGCUCUUCAUAUUACCCAGUUCAUCCUACUUGUUAUUCAAGUCCUCCUCUGCAUUGAGAUUGACCCCAUCUCCGUUAUAUCAGUACAUUUCAUUUGUGAGUCAAGGUCAUUAAAGAGAAUAUUAAAUAAGAUUGUUCAGUUGAUGAACUCCUCUAAUAUCCUUUUUCCCUGAAAUACUUCCACUUUCAAGAUAACUCAUCAUUCUGGGAAAAUAAGGAGGAUACAUGUAAUAGACAAUGGGUCAGGAAUGAACUCAGUCGCUUGAAGCCUCUUCCUGGAACAGCAAUAAACUGAAACCUGUUACUAUUAUCAAGGACAUUACAUAUUAAUGUUACUGUGGAACUGGUACCUGACCUGUGUCUCAUUCUGUCGUCCUGUAUGUGGCCUGGCCCUUUGCUAUGCCAUUACAUUUUGUUAUGCCAAACCUAUCCCAAGCUGAGCCCAGCAUGAGGACUACUGGAAGCAUGGCUUGUGCACACCAGAAAAAGGAACUUGUACCAGCAAAAUGCCAGGUGUGGGGUCAGGGGCUGCUGGAUAGACCGGGAGAGAAGCUGGGGGAUCACUGAUGAGAAAGCACUCAUAAGCUGCAGGAAAAGAGCUGGUAACAGAACACAAAAAUCUCCCAGAGGAGUGGCCUCAUGUCCACAGUGACACCAAGACGGUCUAGAGGACAACAGUGUUAGUGAGGAAAGACAGAUACCCCCAACUCUUAAAAUGUAACCUAAAUAUUUUCAGAGUAUCACAGAAUUUGCAGUAUCAUGAUUCUUACUUUUUAGUACUAAUAUUAUGAAAUGUUCAGAUGAUAUCAUGCAUGCAAGUACAAUAAAAUUCCACAAUUCUUAAA